AGAGUUUGAUCCUGGCUUAGGAUUAACGCUGGCGGCAUGCCUAAUACAUGCAAGUCGAAUGGUUAGCUUGCUAACCAUGGCGAACGGGUGAGUAACACGUAGGUAACCUGUCUUCAAGACGAGGAUAACCAUUGGAAACGAUGGAUAAUACUGGAUAGGACAAAUCCCCGCAUGAGGAGAUGUUUAAAGGAGCAAUCCACUUGAUGAGGGGCCUGCGGUGCAUUAGCUAGUUGGUGAGGUAAAGGCCCACCAAGGCGAUGAUGCAUAGCCGGACUGAGAGGUUGAACGGCCACAAUGGAACUGAGAACGGUCCAUACUCCUACGGGAGGCAGCAGUAGGGAAUUUUCGGCAAUGGGCGGAAGCCUGACCGAGCAAUGCCGCGUGAACGAUGAAGUAUUUCGGUAUGUAAAGUUCUUUUAUUUGGGAAGAAAAAACAAAUUGACGGUACCAAAUGAAUAAGCUCCGGCUAACUACGUGCCAGCCGCCGC
RNAcentral lists this ribosomal RNA (488 nucleotides) under uncultured bacterium. RNAcentral's name for it is "bacterial SSU rRNA". It matches the Rfam family "Bacterial small subunit ribosomal RNA", at positions 8 to 518 of the family's 1533-position model. The record is from RNAcentral.